Molecule: ribosomal RNA, 1339 nt
Filed under: uncultured bacterium
Lineage: Bacteria
Description: bacterial SSU rRNA
Rfam family: Bacterial small subunit ribosomal RNA
Source: RNAcentral
AACGAACGCUGGCGGCGUGGAUAAGACAUGCAAGUCGAACGAGAGAAUUGCUAGCUUGCUAAUAAUUCUCUAGUGGCGCACGGGUGAGUAACACGUGAGUAACCUGCCCCCGAGAGCGGGAUAGCCCUGGGAAACUGGGAUUAAUACCGCAUAGUAUCGAAAGAUUAAAGCAGCAAUGCGCUUGGGGAUGGGCUCGCGGCCUAUUAGUUAGUUGGUGAGGUAACGGCUCACCAAGGCGAUGACGGGUAGCCGGUCUGAGAGGAUGUCCGGCCACACUGGAACUGAGACACGGUCCAGACACCUACGGGUGGCAGCAGUCGAGAAUCAUUCACAAUGGGGGAAACCCUGAUGGUGCGACGCCGCGUGGGGGAAUGAAGGUCUUCGGAUUGUAAACCCCUGUCAUGUGGGAGCAAAUUAAAAAGAUAGUACCACAAGAGGAAGAGACGGCUAACUCUGUGCCAGCAGCCGCGGUAAUACAGAGGUCUCAAGCGUUGUUCGGAAUCACUGGGCGUAAAGCGUGCGUAGGCUGUUUCGUAAGUCGUGUGUGAAAGGCGCGGGCUCAACCCGCGGACGGCACAUGAUACUGCGAGACUAGAGUAAUGGAGGGGGAACCGGAAUUCUCGGUGUAGCAGUGAAAUGCGUAGAUAUCGAGAGGAACACUCGUGGCGAAGGCGGGUUCCUGGACAUUAACUGACGCUGAGGCACGAAGGCCAGGGGAGCGAAAGGGAUUUAGAUACCCCUGUAGUCCUGGCAGUAAACGGUGCACGCUUGGUGUGCGGGGAAUCGACCCCCUGCGUGCCGGAGCUAACGCGUUAAGCGUGCCGCCUGGGGAGUACGGUCGCAAGAUUAAAACUCAAAGAAAUUGACGGGGACCCGCACAAGCGGUGGAGUAUGUGGCUUAAUUCGAUGCAACGCGAAGAACCUUACCUGGGCUUGACAUGUAAUGAACAACAUGUGAAAGCAUGCGACUCUUCGGAGGCGUUACACAGGUGCUGCAUGGCCGUCGUCAGCUCGUGUCGUGAGAUGUUUGGUUAAGUCCAGCAACGAGCGCAACCCCUGUUGCCAGUUACCAGCACGUGAAGGUGGGGACUCUGGCGAGACUGCCCAGAUCAACUGGGAGGAAGGUGGGGACGACGUCAGGUCAGUAUGGCCCUUAUGCCCAGGGCUGCACACGUACUACAAUGCCCAGUACAGAGGGGGCCGAAGCCGCGAGGCGGAGGAAAUCCUGAAAACUGGGCCCAGUUCGGACUGUAGGCUGCAACCCGCCUACACGAAGCCGGAAUCGCUAGUAAUGGCGCAUCAGCUACGGCGCCGUGAAUACGUUCCCGGGUCUUGUACU